GGUUGAUCCCUGGCUCAGAUUGAACGCUGGCGGGAUGCUUUACACAUGCAAGUCGAACGGCAGCACGGACUUCGGUCUGGUGGCGAGUGGCGAACGGGUGAGUAAUGUAUCGGAACGUGCCUAGUAGCGGGGGAUAACUACGCGAAAGCGUAGCUAAUACCGCAUACCUUCCCUUCGGGGGAAAAGCGGGGGACCUUCGGGCCUCGCACUAUUAGAGCGGCCGAUAUCAGUUAGCUGGUUGGUGGGGUAACGGCUCGCAAGGCGACGGUCCGUAGCUGGUUUGAGAGGACGACCAGCCACACUGGGACUGGGACGGCUGGCAGACUCUACGGAGGCAGCAGUGGGGAAUUUUGGACAAUGGGGAAACCCUGAUCAGCCAUCCCGCGUGUGCGAUGAAGGCCUUCCGGGUUGUAGCACUUUUGGCAGGAAAGAAACGGCACGGGAUAAUACCCCGUGCAACUGACGACACCUGCAAGAAUAAGCACCGGCUAACGCGUGCAGCAGCCGCGGUAAUACGUAGGGUGCAAGCGUUAAUCGGAAUUACUGGGCGUAAAGCGUGCGCAGGCGGUUCGGAAAAGAAAGAUGUGAAAUCCCAGAGCUUAACUUUGGAACUGCAUUUUAACUACCGAGCUAGAGUGUCUAAUAAGGGGUGGAAUUCCGCGUGUAGCAGUGAAACACGUAGAUGUCCGGAGGAACACCGAUGGCGAAGGCAGCCUCUGGGGAUAACACUGACGCUCAUGGCACGAAAGCGUGGAGCAGAGCAGGAUUAGAUGCCCUGGUAGUCCACGCCCUAAACGAUGUCAACUAGCCUGUUGGGGCCAGCCGGGCCUUGGUAGCGCAACAACGCGACAGUUGACCGCCUGGGAAAUACGGUCGCAAGAUUAAACUCAAAGGAAUUGACGGGGACCCCGCACCGGCAGUGGAUGAUGUGGAUAAAUUCGAUGCAACGCGAAAAACCUUACCUACCCUUGACAUGUCUGGAAUCCCGAAGAGAUUUAAGGUGCUCGCAAGAAAGAACCGGAACACAGGUGCUGCAUGGCUGUCGUCAGCUCGUGUCGUGAGAUGUGUUUAAGUCCGCAACGAGCGCAACCCUUGUCCAUUAGUUGCUGCGAAAGGGCACUCCUAAUGAGACUGCCGGUGACAAACCGGAGAGGAAGGUGGGGAUGACGUCAAGUACUCAUGGCCCUUAUGGGCAGGGCUUCACACGUCAUACAAUGGUCGGGACAGAGGGUCGCCAACCCGCGAGGGGGAGCCAAUCCCAGAAACCCGAUCGUAGUCCGGAUCGCAGUCUGCAACUCGACUGCGUGAAGUCAGAAUCGCUAGUAAUCGCGGAUCAGCAUGUCGCGGUGAAUACGUUCCCGGGUCUUGUACACACCGCCCGUCACACCAUGGGAUGGGUUUUACAGAAGUAGUUAACCUAACCAUCGGAGGGCGGUCUACGGUAGGAUUCAUGACUGGGGUGAAGUCGUAACAAGGUAA
This 1479-nucleotide ribosomal RNA is filed under the name uncultured Bordetella sp. RNAcentral's name for it is "partial 16S-23S ribosomal RNA intergenic spacer". It matches the Rfam family "Bacterial small subunit ribosomal RNA". The record is from RNAcentral. Lineage: Bacteria; Pseudomonadati; Pseudomonadota; Betaproteobacteria; Burkholderiales; Alcaligenaceae.